GUAUGAGGAUCUCAGAUCCCCAAUUUGAAUUCCCACUCCUCUCCCAAAAACCUAGCAGUCGUCGUUGCUUCUCCCACGACAUUUCCUCUUCACCUUUCAAGAUUAUCAAGUGUUCGACAUCAUUCACCAUCACUUCCGAUGUAUCACAAUCGAUUGCAUCACACUAUUGCAUUAAAGGAUCUAUUAGAGUUUCUCAACAUAAGCCCUAGCGAUUAAGAAUAUUGAUGAAUGUGCGUGGAUUUAAUAGGUCACUUUCACAGGGCUUAUGUGAGAUGCUGAUUACUUAGGUUUUUGGGGGACUUAGACAUGUCGAUAUCCCAGGUUAUGGAGGAAGAAGCUCUGAAGGUGGAGAUGUUGGCCAAUGUAGAUGAUGCUCUUUUGAGGUCUUAAAGUUUUUUUUAAAGGUGUUGUUUGUGGGAGAUUGAGAUGGAGGUGGAUUAGAGAGAGGUUUAAAUGGAGUGUUGAUAGGAAGUGAUAUGUUAAGAAGGAAGACGAUGGAACACAAGGCUUUGAACUUGCAAGAAGUAGCUUUUGUUUUUUAGUGUUGGUGGAUUUUUCGAUUAAGGUGGUUUAGGAAGUGGCGCAAAAGUUGGUGGAUAAUAAGGUUAGAGUGGCUUGUAGAGGAUCAAUGGGUUCUCAACAAUUGUUCUCCUAUCACUGUUGCAAUCAUGACCCUUGCUGUGAUGGCCAUGAAGUUAAGUUGUAUGAGUGUUCUGCGUUGAAGUUGUGGAGGUGUUAGUAGCGGGGUAUAUUACUAACCCAAUCCCAAAAAAGAUCAAGAUUAGAGGUUUUGAUUUAGUCAAAUGUUAGUUGAUGUAUCGUUAGGAAUCUGAAUCUUCAUUUAUUAUAUUGGUCGUUGUAGGUUUUCUUUAAAAAACCUAUAAUAGGUUCGCAUUAGGGCCCCCUUAACCUACGUUUUAGUGAAAUUGGAAGCCUAAAUUGGACUUGGUUUUGAUUUUUUUCCAGAUAGGCACCUGGUGGUAGGACAACCCCUGGUUGUCCAUUUAUAUUUAGAAUCCUAUACUGUGUACUUUAUUAUGUUUCAUUCUCUAACAUGUUUUCCACCUUCAGUAAAUUCGAUUCCAGGAGGCUACAAGCUGAUCUAAAAGCACCUGUUUCUGCUUCAUUUGAGAUUUGAGAUGACAGUAAAUCAAAUCUGUGAGAACUUUGCCAGUAUUGAGAGGUUAUGUCAAGAAUUGCAGACAUUAAUUGAGAAUCAUGAUCUGACUAAGCUUUUUAGCACUGCAUGAAAUACUUUAAACAACACAUUGAAGGUCUUGGAAGUUUUGAUGCUGCACUUGAAUCUCCUAAAUCUUGGGUUAUGAAUGUGAUGCUGACCAUAGCCAUAUUAAGACACGCUUGGUGUCAUUUGUGUAUGAGGCUUGAAUGGAACCUAUCAUGAUUGUUAAUUUUGAAGUCUUGCAUUCAAGUAUGCUAUUUUUUUUUCUAAUUCUAGACAUCUUUCUUAAUUAUAAGGCAAUCAUCGUUAAUGCUA
Long non-coding RNA from Helianthus annuus (common sunflower), 1495 nucleotides. RefSeq lists it as uncharacterized. The transcript is spliced from 8 exons. NCBI's taxonomy places the organism in Eukaryota, Viridiplantae, Streptophyta, Magnoliopsida, Asterales, Asteraceae. The record is from RefSeq and is a predicted model, not a curated record.